RNAcentral lists this ribosomal RNA (460 nucleotides) under uncultured bacterium. RNAcentral describes it as "partial 16S ribosomal RNA". It matches the Rfam family "Bacterial small subunit ribosomal RNA", at positions 338 to 795 of the family's 1533-position model. The record is from RNAcentral.
CCUACGGGAGGCUGCAGUGAGGAAUAUUGGUCAAUGGACGAGAGUCUGAACCAGCCAAGUAGCGUGAAGGAUGACUGCCCUAUGGGUUGUAAACUUCUUUUAUAUGGGAAUAAAAUGUUCCACGUGUGGGAUUUUGUAUGUACCAUAUGAAUAAGGAUCGGCUAACUCCGUGCCAGCAGCCGCGGUAAUACGGAGGAUCCGAGCGUUAUCCGGAUUUAUUGGGUUUAAAGGGAGCGUAGGUGGAUUGUUAAGUCAGUUGUGAAAGUUUGCGGCUCAACCGUAAAAUUGCAGUUGAAACUGGCAGUCUUGAGUACAGUAGAGGUGGGCGGAAUUCGUGGUGUAGCGGUGAAAUGCUUAGAUAUCACGAAGAACUCCGAUUGCGAAGGCAGUUCACUGGACUGCAACUGACACUGAGGCUCGAAAGUGUGGGUAUCAAACAGGAUUAGAUACCCGUGUAUUC